RNAcentral lists this ribosomal RNA (585 nucleotides) under uncultured marine eukaryote. Its description in RNAcentral is "SSU rRNA". It matches the Rfam family "Eukaryotic small subunit ribosomal RNA", at positions 612 to 1201 of the family's 1831-position model. The record is from RNAcentral.
GUUGCGGUUAAAAAGCUCGUAGUUGGAUUUCUGUCGAGGACGUCCGGUCCAUCUUUCGGGUGAGUAUCUGGUACGGCCUUGGCAUCCUCUUGGAGAGCUACGCUGCACUUGACUGUGUGGUUAGGGAUUCAAGACUUUUACUUUGAGGAAAUUAGAGUGUUCGCGGCAGGCAAACGUCUGAAUACAUUAGCAUGGAAUAAUAAUAUAGGACCUUGGUUCUAUUUUGUUGGUUUCUAGGACUAAGGUAAUGAUUAAUAGGGAUAAUUGGGGGCAUUCGUAUUGACGCGUCAGAGGUGGAAUUCUUGGAUUGCGUUACGACGAACUACUGCGAAAGCAUUUGCCAAGGAUGUUUUCAUUGACCAAGAACGAAAGUUAGGGGAUCGAAGACGCUUAGAUACCGUCGUAGUCUUAACCAUAAACUAUGCCAACUAGAGAUUGGAGGGCGUUCUCUUUGUGACUCCUUCAGCACCUUAUGAGAAAUCAAAGUCUUUGGGUUCCGGGGGGAGUAUGGUCGCAAGGCUGAAACUUAAAGGAGUUGACGGAAGGGCACCACCAGGAGUGGAGCCUGCGGCUUAAAUUUGACUC